This 467-nucleotide ribosomal RNA is filed under the name uncultured bacterium. RNAcentral describes it as "partial 16S ribosomal RNA". It matches the Rfam family "Bacterial small subunit ribosomal RNA", at positions 28 to 507 of the family's 1533-position model. The record is from RNAcentral.
GACGAACGCUGGCGGCGCGCUUAACACAUGCAAGUCGAACGGAAAGGCCUCUUUCGGGGGGUACUCGAGUGGCGAACGGGUGAGUAACACGUGAGUAACCUGCCCUUGACUUUGGGAUAACUUCAGGAAACUGGGGCUAAUACCGGAUAGGAGCUCCUGCUGCAUGGUGGGGGUUGGAAAGUUUCGGCGGUUGGGGAUGGACUCGCGGCUUAUCAGCUUGUUGGUGGGGUAGUGGCUUACCAAGGCUUUGACGGGUAGCCGGCCUGAGAGGGUGACCGGCCACAUUGGGACUGAGAUACGGCCCAGACUCCUACGGGAGGCAGCAGUGGGGAAUAUUGCACAAUGGGUGGAAGCCUGAUGCAGCAACGCCGUGUGCGGGAUGACGGCCUUCGGGUUGUAAACCGCUUUCGCUCAUGACGAAGCUUUGUGUGACGGUAGUGGGUAAAGAAGCACCGGCUAACUACGUG